AGCGAACGCUGGCGGCAGGCCUAAAACAUGCAAGUCGAACGCCCUAGCAAUAGGGAGUGGCAGACGGGUGAGUAACACGUGGGAACGUGCCUUUUGGUUCGGAACAACACAGGGAAACUUGUGCUAAUACCGGAUAAGCCCUUCGGGGGAAAGAUUUAUCGCCAAAAGAUCGGCCCGCGUCUGAUUAGCUAGUUGGUGGG
Molecule: ribosomal RNA, 200 nt
Filed under: uncultured bacterium
Lineage: Bacteria
Description: partial 16S ribosomal RNA
Rfam family: Bacterial small subunit ribosomal RNA
Source: RNAcentral